AUACGUAGGGUGCAAGCGUUAAUCGGAAUUACUGGGCGUAAAGCGUGCGCAGGCGGUUUUGUAAGACAGUGGUGAAAUCCCCGGGCUCAACCUGGGAACUGCCAUUGUGACUGCAAGGCUGGAGUGCGGCAGAGGGGGAUGGAAUUCCGCGUGUAGCAGUGAAAUGCGUAGAUAUGCGGAGGAACACCGAUGGCGAAGGCAAUCCCCUGGGCCUGCACUGACGCUCAUGCACGAAAGCGUGGGGAGCAAACAGGAUUAGAUACCCUGGUAGUCCACGCCCUAAACGAUGUCAACUGGUUGUUGGGUCUUCAUUGACUCAGUAACGAAGCUAACGCGUGAAGUUGACCGCCUGGGGAGUACGGCCGCAAGGUUGAAACUUAAAGGAAUUGACGGGG
This 395-nucleotide ribosomal RNA is filed under the name uncultured bacterium. RNAcentral describes it as "partial 16S ribosomal RNA". It matches the Rfam family "Bacterial small subunit ribosomal RNA", at positions 523 to 918 of the family's 1533-position model. The record is from RNAcentral.